GUAAAAAUAGACAUCUAAUUGAAAUAGCUCAUACUUCAUCAUCAUGUAUCUCUUCAUUUUUGGGGGAAUGUUGUCCUUACUGCUUGCUAUUUCAUUAAUCGUAUGCCUUCUUUUGUUUUGUAGCAUCAAAAUCCUCAAUCAGUUCUCUAUCUAGAUCAAAAUCCUUUUCCUCUUUCGUUGCGUGUAUUUCGUUACACCAGUUUUGUUCACAAUCUUACCUCCAGAAAAGACAAACUUCAACCAAAAU
This 247-nucleotide unclassified non-coding RNA is filed under the name Hevea brasiliensis (rubber tree). The record is from RNAcentral. Lineage: Eukaryota; Viridiplantae; Streptophyta; Magnoliopsida; Malpighiales; Euphorbiaceae.